AUGAAAGAAGCCCUCCGAGAAGUUAUGAAAGAACCUGUGAUUAAGGAAAGUGUUGAACACCCUGAUGGAGAAAGCCUCAACAGAUUUUACUCCAAUGCCUGUUAUUCAUGUGCAGAAGAAGGACAUUUUUCACAAUAUUGCACCAAGGAAAGAAACGAGUAUAUGGGAUACUUCCCGACAGAAGCAGUGGAGUUUGAUCCACAGGGAAUAGAAUGUUUGAUCAGAACAAAGAAAACCAGGAAGAGAAAACAAAGACACCCUCAGAACAACUCAAUCUCUGCAAAGAGAGACAAGAGUCAUAUUACCUGUUUUGAAUGUAAGGACGUCGGACAUUAUGCCAAUGAUUAUCUCGAAAGGAAGCAAGGAACUCAAGGAGCAGGCACCAUCACCAAGAAGCCUCGAGACAUGCCGGAAGUUAUUUGUUUUCGUUGCAAGGAAGCAGGACAUUUUGCUAGGGAUUGUUCAAAUCAUGAGAAAUCUGGAGCUGAGUAG
This 492-nucleotide ribosomal RNA is filed under the name Triticum aestivum (bread wheat). RNAcentral's name for it is "partial small subunit ribosomal RNA". Lineage: Eukaryota; Viridiplantae; Streptophyta; Magnoliopsida; Poales; Poaceae. The record is from RNAcentral.